RNAcentral lists this ribosomal RNA (422 nucleotides) under uncultured bacterium. Its description in RNAcentral is "bacterial SSU rRNA". It matches the Rfam family "Bacterial small subunit ribosomal RNA", at positions 355 to 774 of the family's 1533-position model. The record is from RNAcentral.
UGAGGAAUAUUGGACAAUGGGCGCAAGCCUGAUCCAGCCAUGCCGCGUGCAGGAAGAAGCAUCUAUGGUGUGUAAACUGCUUUUGUACGGGAAGAAACACUCCUUCGUGAAGGAGCUUGACGGUGCCGUAAGAAUAAGGAUCGGCUAACUCCGUGCCAGCAGCCGCGGUAAUACGGAGGAUCCAAGCGUUAUCCGGAAUCAUUGGGUUUAAAGGGUCCGUAGGCGGUUUAGUAAGUCAGUGGUGAAAGCCCAUCGCUCAACGAUGGAACGGCCAUUGAUACUGCUAGACAUGAAUUAUUAGGAAGUAACUAGAAUAUGUAGUGUAGCGGUGAAAUGCUGAGAUAUUACAUGGAAUACCAAUUGAGAAGGCAGGUUAAUACUAAUGGAUUGACGAUGAUGGACGAAAGCGUGGGGAGCGAAAA